This 450-nucleotide ribosomal RNA is filed under the name uncultured Glomus. RNAcentral's name for it is "SSU rRNA". It matches the Rfam family "Eukaryotic small subunit ribosomal RNA", at positions 569 to 1024 of the family's 1831-position model. Lineage: Eukaryota; Fungi; Glomeromycota; Glomeromycetes; Glomerales; Glomeraceae. RNAcentral also lists the same sequence under 1 other name. The record is from RNAcentral.
AGCAGCCGCGGUAAUUCCAGCUCCAAUAGCGUAUAUUAAAGUUGUUGCAGUUAAAAAGCUCGUAGUUGAAUUUCGGGAUCAAGGAAUCGGUCAUGCCUCGGUAUGUACUGGUUUUAUUGGUUCUCACCUUCUAAAGAACCAUGAUGUCAUUCAUUUGAUGUUAUGGGGAAUUAGGACUGUUACCUUGAAAAAAUUAGAGUGUUUAAAGCAGGCUUACGCUUGAAUACAUUAGCAUGGAAUAAUGAAAUAGGACAUCAGAUUCUAUUUUGUUGGUUUCUAGGAUCGAUGUAAUGAUUAAUAGGGAUAGUUGGGGGCAUUAGUAUUCAAUUGUCAGAGGUGAAAUUCUUGGAUUUAUUGAAGACUAACUACUGCGAAAGCAUUUGCCAAGGAUGUUUUCAUUAAUCAAGAACGAAAGUUAGGGGAUCGAAGACGAUCAGAUACCGUCGUAGU